GACGAACGCUGGCGGCGUGCUUAACACAUGCAAGUCGAACGGAAAGGCCCUGCUUUUGUGGGGUGCUCGAGUGGCGAACGGGUGAGUAACACGUGAGUAACCUGCCCUUGACUUUGGGAUAACUUCAGGAAACUGGGGCUAAUACCGGAUAGGAGCUCCUGCUGCAUGGUGGGGGUUGGAAAGUUUCGGCGGUUGGGGAUGGACUCGCGGCUUAUCAGCUUGUUGGUGGGGUAGUGGCUUACCAAGGCUUUGACGGGUAGCCGGCCUGAGAGGGUGACCGGCCACAUUGGGACUGAGAUACGGCCCAGACGCCUACGGGAGGCAGCAGUGGGGAAUAUUGCGCAAUGGGCGGAAGCCUGAUGCAGCAACGCCGCGUGCGGGAUGACGGCCUUCGGGUUGUAAACCGCUUUCGCCUGUGACGAAGCGUGAGUGACGGUAACGGGUAAAGAAGCACCGGCUAACUACGUG
Molecule: ribosomal RNA, 468 nt
Filed under: uncultured bacterium
Lineage: Bacteria
Description: partial 16S ribosomal RNA
Rfam family: Bacterial small subunit ribosomal RNA
Source: RNAcentral